AAGUCUGACAACGAAGCGUACAUCAGGAUGAUGUUGCUUCAGGGACACACCGGGAAGGUGCUACAGGGAAAGGCUUCAGGAUGAAGCAGCAGGACAACGCAGGAUUGCGCUAAGGGACACCUCCAGGAAGGAGAAUGAGAGCCGGUCAGGAUGGCCGACAGAUCAGGAUGAUCAGGGACACGCAUUAAGGAUGAGGCUAAGUCACAUCGGGGUGGUGUGAGCAUGAUGCACAGUUCACGGAUGAACCGGUCAGGAGACCACAGGAAAAGUUUUCAAGGAUGAGCAGGGAGCACAACGAGUAGCCGGACUGCUACGAAACGAACCGGGAGCACUGUUUUUACAGUGCUCCCUUUUUUUAUU
Molecule: non-coding RNA, 360 nt
Filed under: Kosakonia sacchari
Lineage: Bacteria; Pseudomonadati; Pseudomonadota; Gammaproteobacteria; Enterobacterales; Enterobacteriaceae
Source: RNAcentral